Molecule: non-coding RNA, 279 nt
Filed under: Clostridium sp.
Lineage: Bacteria; Bacillati; Bacillota; Clostridia; Eubacteriales; Clostridiaceae
Description: T-box sequence
Rfam family: T-box leader
About the family: Uncharged tRNA acts as the effector for transcription antitermination of genes in the T-box leader family. T-boxes are found upstream of many aminoacyl-tRNA synthetase genes and some amino acid biosynthetic genes usually in Gram-positive bacteria.
Source: RNAcentral
GUAAAUGCAGAGAAGAGGAAUAGUAGGAAUCCAAAGGAUUUCAGAGAGUCGUUGGCUGGUGUGAAACGAUAAUCCGAAGAUUUUGAACUCGCCUUGGAGCAGCCGAUUGAACAGAUGUGAGACAGGAAAGUUUGACAUUAGUAGAUUUGGACGGAGCCUGACCGUUACAGCGGGAAGAUAUAGGAUGCAUGCAUCUUUGUAUCUGUGAGAGCAUACGAUAUGUAUGAAUUAGAGUGGUACCGCGUAAGAGGUUAGAAUGAUGAAACUUGCGUCUCUAAG